AGUGAACGCUGGCGGUAGGCCUAACACAUGCAAGUCGAACGGCAGCACAGUAAGAGCUUGCUCUUACGGGUGGCGAGUGGCGGACGGGUGAGGAAUACAUCGGAAUCUACUUUUUCGUGGGGGAUAACGUAGGUAAACUUACGCUAAUACCGCAUACGACCUACCGGUGAAAGCAGGGGAUCUUCGGACCUUGCGCGAUUGAAUGAGCCGAUGUCGGAUUAGCUAGUUGGCGGGGUAAUGGCCCACCAAGGCGACGAUCCGUAGCUGGACUGAGAGGAUGAUAAGCCACACUGGAACUGAGACACGGACCAGACUCCUACGGGAGGCAGCAGUGGGGAAUGUUGGACAAUGGGGGCAAGCCUGAUCCAGCCAUACCGCGUGGGUGAAGAAGGCCUUCGGGUUGUAAAGCCCUUUUGUUGGGAAAGAAAAGCAGCAGGUUAAUACCCAGCUGUUCUGACGGUACCCAAAGAAUAAGCACCGGCUAACUUCGUG
RNAcentral lists this ribosomal RNA (492 nucleotides) under uncultured bacterium. RNAcentral's name for it is "partial 16S ribosomal RNA". It matches the Rfam family "Bacterial small subunit ribosomal RNA", at positions 29 to 507 of the family's 1533-position model. The record is from RNAcentral.